This 45-nucleotide non-coding RNA is filed under the name Schistosoma margrebowiei. Lineage: Eukaryota; Metazoa; Platyhelminthes; Trematoda; Strigeidida; Schistosomatidae. The record is from RNAcentral.
GCACUGCUGAGGAGUCUAAAAUAGGACGAAAUGGCUAUUCAGUGC